UAUGCUUUAGUAUAAUAUGUAUAAAAGUUUUUGAUACUUUAGGGGAUAGUUUAAAUCUAUUAAGCAUAA
Molecule: transfer RNA, 69 nt
Filed under: Scolytinae sp. BMNH 1274288
Lineage: Eukaryota; Metazoa; Arthropoda; Insecta; Coleoptera; Curculionidae
Description: tRNA-Gln
Source: RNAcentral